This 323-nucleotide ribosomal RNA is filed under the name uncultured eukaryote. RNAcentral's name for it is "partial 18S ribosomal RNA". It matches the Rfam family "Eukaryotic small subunit ribosomal RNA", at positions 1470 to 1796 of the family's 1831-position model. The record is from RNAcentral.
CCCUUAGAUGUUCUGGGCCGCACGCGCGCUACACUGAUGCAUGCAACGAGUUCUAUCCUUGGCCGGAAGGCCUGGGUAAUCUGUGAACGUGCAUCGUGAUAGGGAUAGAUUAUUGCAAUUAUUAAUCUCGAACGAGGAAUUCCUAGUAAACGCAAGUCAUCAGCUUGCAUUGAUUACGUCCCUGCCCUUUGUACACACCGCCCGUCGCACCUACCGAUCGAAGGUAAUGAUGAGCCCUCAGGAUUGUGGCCUCGUCGCGUCAGCGUCUUGGCUGCGAGAAUCUGUGCAAAUCCCUACCUUUAGAGGAAGGUGAANUCGUANCA